AACGAACGCUGGUGGUAUGCUUAACACAUGCAAGUCGAACGGACUCUUGAAGCUUGCUUCAAGUAAGUUAGUGGCAAACGGGUGAGUAAUACAUAGGAAUCUACCUAGCAGUAUGGAAUAACCCUGGGAAACCAGAGCUAAUACCAUAUAUUACCGAUUUAUCGGGAAAGAUUUAUCGCUGUUAGAUGAGCCUGUGUCCCAUUAGCUUGUUGGUAGGGUAAUGGCCUACCAAGGCGAUGAUGGGUAGCUGGUCUGAGAGGAUGAUCAGCCACACUGGGACUGCGACACGGCCCAG
Molecule: ribosomal RNA, 295 nt
Filed under: uncultured bacterium
Lineage: Bacteria
Description: partial 16S ribosomal RNA
Rfam family: Bacterial small subunit ribosomal RNA
Source: RNAcentral